Ostrea edulis (European flat oyster) is the source of this 4899-nucleotide long non-coding RNA. RefSeq lists it as uncharacterized. The record is from RefSeq and is a predicted model, not a curated record. The transcript is spliced from 4 exons. NCBI's taxonomy places the organism in Eukaryota, Metazoa, Mollusca, Bivalvia, Ostreida, Ostreidae.
CUUAUCCGCCGUGCCCAAUCCGGUCCACAACUUGAAGCGAUUCAUCAUGAAAUCAACAAUUUCAUACUCGUUGUUCUGCUUGGCAAUAUCUGACCGUACCGCUCCGAACGUUUCGUUUAGGAUAGACAACAGCAUGUUGACAACAAUGAAAGUUAUCGUGACGACGUAAGCGAAAAUGAAGAUUUGUGUCAUAACUGGUUCCACCAUCUUCAUUUCGUAAAUAUCAAACUUGCCCAUCAUCAUGGUGAGACCGGAUUCACAAGCCGUGAUAAAAGUCUUGAAUGACGUUAGACUUCCAGCAUAGACCAAGUAGAAAAGUUGAAUGAAUGCCAAGAAGACGAUACUGAAUAUUAUGCUGAAGUGCAUCAAGUCUCUGCAGGAAUUCUUUAAAGUUGAGGCCAGUAAUGACAUACGCUUGUUGAAUCGCAGAAGUUUGAGGAAUUUUAGUGACGCAAAAAAGACUAACCACCCAAUAAUAUAACUGAAUAUUUCACUCCAUGCUCCCACGUACUGAAAUUUCAUAUACUCGUUACCAUGGGAAAUUUUAAAUCGUUCUGUUAGUCGGUUAGUUUCAAACAUACGAUAGAAGUAGAUAACAAUGGCUGUCACAGACAUCGAACAUAUUCCAAGUUCCACUAAAUUCCAGAACUGUUUGAAAUAAGCGAAAUUUUCUUUCGUGAUGCCCCUUAGCAGUUGGAAAAUGAAGAAAAGUGUGAAAGCAAAGUAGACAAUCUCACAGGCGAUCUGGAAGAGCAUCACAUCAGUCAUGUAUGGCAGAAGCAUCACGGGUUCAAAACGAUAGGACGGAAAUAUACCCUGACUAGGACGGACUUCCAAAAGCAAGGUAGCAAUUCCAAAUAAAUUGAUUCCGGCAUUGUAAACGGUGAAUUCCACGAAUAUCGCGCGAGUAUACCUAUCAACCCAACCCUCAUUUUCAAGACUCUGGAAUUUGUUUCUGAGUAACGUUGCGUUUCCACGCAAACGUACCACGUACCCCCCACCGCUGUACAGAGACCUGUCUCCCAUGUAAGGAUGUCCGUCCAAUACGCUGGCCGUGGUGUAGCGGUAUUCCUCUUUUCGAUUAUUAUAUGUAGUAUUUUGGUAAGCAGGAUUCCAUCCAACUCCGUAUUCAUUCUCGUCGUGUUCCUGCAUAUCGUACUCAUCAUUACACUCGUGUAUAACGGUCUGCAUUACAUCGGCAACAUGGCACGAGUCUGAAAAGGCAACUCAUGGAUUAUUUUCAGGAGAAUGAAUUUUUAAAAAAAUGAUUGGUUCUGGUAUAAUCAACUUAGUUCUGUAUUUGGCAUACAGGUAAAUAUCUGCAAUGCUUUCAAAUAUAAAAUAUUUAGUUCUGUUAUUUUGGUAUUUGGCAUACAAUUAAAUAUAUGUACUGGUAAUUUCAUUCUGAAUUGUGAACAAGUAAUGGAAAAGUCAUAGACAGAUGCUCACCUCGUUUUACACGAAGUUGUCUCAUUGUGGCGUAUCCCAUGAUUCUGGACUGCUUGUCGUUGAUGUAACCACGUAAAAAUAUGGGCUGCCCGUCAUUGUACCAGACGCCUGCUCGGAUGCCAUCCACCAAUCCACUCUUUGCCCAGACCCAGAAAUCAUCUUUGUUUUUUAUCUGGUUGCGACAAUAAAACAUGUUGUCAGAAUCAAAAGUUAUGACAUUUCUUGUAUGGGAAAUUUGUGCAGACCUGCACUUCAUACCGUUGGCAUGAUACCGGCUGUAUCGUCUCUGUCACAAGGCGUUGUUUUCCUUACCUUCAGGAAGUGGUGCUUGGUGUCGUUGGUGGUUAUGAAGACCUUUUCUAAACUUGACUUGUAGUAGUAGGACAUGUAACUACGGUUCCUGUAACUGAUGACCAUUAGGAUCCACAAGAAAAACGAGUAAAACACAAUCUCACGGACGAUGCCCCACAUCUUGAUUUCCUUCAGUCUAACUUCACGUGCUUUUUCUAGAAGCCCCGGAUCUGGAGGUUUGUAUGCAGCCCUCCUUGGUUUUAUGAUGCUGUCUGAAAAACAGCAAGUAGUUAAUGGAUUAGUUCAGAAGUGUUACAGGUUUCGUUCAUGCACAUUUUUUGAUGUUGUAGUGUGUCUGUGGACGAGGAGAACACAAUUCCUGGGCUUUUGACCCCUUUCUGCUUCUUAUUUAUUAUCUUAUGAAGUGGGUAAUAUGAAUACUAGCAUUGUGAAAUGAAAAUAUUGUAAGUUACAGUAUGUUAGUAUUUAAUAAAAUUCAAUAAUAUAUUUUCUCGAUACAAAUUUUGGUUGCUUGUCUUUGCAAAAACUGUUGUUUGAUCAAUAUCUUAUGUACAUAUUUCAUUUAAUUGCUGUCAAAGCUUAACAUUUCUUGAAACAUCUAAUUCAUGAUAUUUGAUUUAUUAGCAAUAAUUUGUUGUGGUACGUCACAUACAACGGCAUAUCGAUUGCAAAUCUUAUUACCUCACAAUAUAUGUCAAGUGUUUGUUAACAAUUGAAAAAAACCCCGAAAGAUUACGAGUUUUCAACAACUAUAGUAGUUAAAUUUGGAAAUAACUGGAUCCUUCACAUUUCUUUACGGAUAAAAUAACUCAAACCUAGAGGUGGUGCGGACAUUUGGGGUGGCACUGGAGUUACAGGAUUAAUUAAUCAAUUAUGGGUGAAAGCUUUAAAACCUUUCGUUUCUCUAUAUCAGAAGUGGACAACGGGACGCUAGACAGCCAUGAUAACUAUUGCCACUUGGCUCGGUCAGUUAAUAUUUUUUCCAAACUGUUGACUUUUUCAGCAGAUAAUGCAUUACCACUGUCUAUGUCAUGAAGAUAUUCCUCGUCUGCUGCCAAAGGAGGCUUCUCUUCAUCCUCAUCAUUAUCUUCAUCUUCAUCACCUCCGGGAUUUUUUAUAACCAGAGAGAAGAAUAUUGCCGUCAGGAUUACCUGCAUUGUCAAAUACGUGAUCAUUAUUAAAGAGUAAGACUGCUCCGAGUAUUUACGUCUCAACAGGAGGGAGAAAUUCUCGAAUGGGACGUAAAACAACAAAGAAAUGUUUUAAAGUUUAGAAACCACAAUUAGUUUCGUUGACCCUGGAUAUUUACUGUUUAUUUAACAUGUUGCAGGAUUGAGCAGAAUGAUAAGAAAUUGUUACCUGCCAAUAUUCACAGUGGCCUAUCUUAUUUUUACCUUUAUUGGCUGUGUGAUGAAAAUCGACGUGAAGAAUGAGAUCAGCAUGGACGUAAUCCACAUUUUACAUUUAAUAUCCUGGAACAUGACGCCAUAGAAUGUAACAAAAGCAGCAGAGACGAAGGUAGCUAUCCACAACAGUAUCCAACCGAUAAUAACAAAGCCCCAAGGAAGAUCCCAGGAUUUUUUCUUUUUCUUUUUGUCUGCAUUGUCGGCCAAAUCUACCACUGACAUUGAUGUCCCGCUCCUAGUGAGUGCAGUCUCCGGCCUAUUUCCUUCCAGGAGUUUAGACGGAGUAAGACAGGAAGGUUCACCAGAACCUUUCAGUGUAGGAUGGACGUCAAAUACAGAUGCAACUGGUUUUGAUUUUUCCUUCAGUGCCUCUGCCACACGUGAUGGUCGCUUGUUUCGAGGUCGAGAUUUUCGGAAGAUGAGGAUGAUCAAGAAGCUGACAGGGAACACGAUUAUGUUGCUCACUACGCCAAUGUAUAUCUUAAAUGAAUUUAAGUUUCAAUUGUGAAAAGACAUAACUUCAAAAACAUCCGUGCACUAACGUUUACUAAUUUGUCACUAAAAUUGGAUAAUAAAAUUCUAAACUCAGUACCUGUUCAGGAGUUAGAGCGAAGGGACCAAACGUAAACGCAUUUUGUUGUGAAUCUCCUUUCUCAUAAAACAUGGCGUUGGUCAGCAUGGACAUGAACAGAAGACACAGACAGCAAGACACACGCUGGACUCGUGUAAAUCUGCUCUGGGGAGGUCUGGCCAAUACCGAGAACCACAGAUGACCAUCACUAAGGCUUUUCGUUGAUUUUUCUGUGAAUAGGUGACUGAAUUCCGUCAUCUGUUCCUUACCAGCUACCGGUAUCAGACGAUCAAUCUACAACAUAAGGAAAGUGAACGGAAGGCAUGUUUCACCACCUGUUAUUCCAGUGCUUACCUCGAUACAGACAUGAGGAAGCCCUCCACCCCUCCCCGUUGCAAGAUUUUUCUCUUGUUGUCACUGAACGUUCUAACAUCCGUCUCAUCUUCUUCACCAGAGAGAAUGAAACUCACCUACAGAUCCUCAGUUCACAAGGAUUUUGAUAUUGCAUACCAUUUCUACGUCCUUCUUAUCCUGAUAUCUGGCCCAGAUAACAGCGGCGAUGUAGACAACGACAAUCACGAUCUCUGUGAUGUAAAGUGUGGGGUUCUUAAAGAAGUCCAUAUUGGAAAAGACGAAGUUCCAGUCAAUAGUGUUCGGCACAACGACCCACCCGCCAGCGAACGUGGUCAUGUGUCCAUGAGCGAGCACCAGUUUGGCAGCUUGAAGCUUCCAUCUCCAAGAUCAAUUGUCUUGUUGGAAAACUUAUCUGCUCGGUUUUUCUCAAAUUCAAGAACAAUGGAGGUUGUAAAAAUUUUCACUGGAGUCUCUCCCUCUACCAAACUUUUCUUGAAGAUUGACCGGAGCUUGGAAUAAACAGUGCCUGCCGUGUUCUGUACUCCUUGGGUCUGUAGUACAAGAAGAAGGAUAUGGGACUUAACAAAUUUUGAAAUUUCAUGGUAGUUGUGCAAACCCAAUCCGAGUCUAUAUUUUUAGUAUGAUGGAAUAGAUAUAUGAUUUUCAUGAUUCUUGCAACCAAACUAUAUAAGCGAUAUAUACCUCGUAAUGCAUCGAAAGGUUUUAUUUUAGCAUGCCUUCUUAAACCUAACAUACAUGAUUUUAUACUAAUAAUCAAGUUUUUAUUUCAGAAUUAAACAUUACUUC